GCCAGGCACGGUGGCUUGUGCCUGUAAUCCCAGUUACUGGGGAGGCUGAGGCAGGAGAAUCACUUGAACCUGGGAGGGGGAGGUUGCAGUGAGUCAAGAUUGUGUCACUGCACUCCCACCUGGGUGACAGAGUGAGACUCUGUCUCAA
Pongo abelii (Sumatran orangutan) is the source of this 148-nucleotide unclassified non-coding RNA. It matches the Rfam family "Metazoan signal recognition particle RNA". Rfam says of the family: The signal recognition particle (SRP) is a universally conserved ribonucleoprotein. The record is from Ensembl. Lineage: Eukaryota; Metazoa; Chordata; Mammalia; Primates; Hominidae.